AGGAAAACGGUGAAGAGGAUAAGUAGUCUUUGGUAGAGAAUCUACAGAGAACCGGGGUAGCUGGAAGCCGGUGAUGCUCCCAAAUGAUGAACUCGCCUCUGAGUGUUAAUCUGAAACUAUAGUAGGAUUAACCGAGUCCCAUUCUUCGGUACUCGUUAUCAAAGUGAACAGUAAUCUGUUCGUAAGGUGGUCAUUUUUGGCCAUGAAGAAGGGUGGUACCGCGAAAAGUUUAUUAACCUUUUUGCCCCUUUG
RNAcentral lists this non-coding RNA (252 nucleotides) under Bacillus sp. (in: firmicutes). Its description in RNAcentral is "Bacillus sp. T-box sequence". It matches the Rfam family "T-box leader". From Rfam's summary of the family: Uncharged tRNA acts as the effector for transcription antitermination of genes in the T-box leader family. Lineage: Bacteria; Bacillati; Bacillota; Bacilli; Caryophanales; Bacillaceae. The record is from RNAcentral.